GAUGAACGCUGGCGGCGUGCCUAAUACAUGCAAGUCGAGCGAACAGACUUGGUGCUUGCUCCUCUUUCGUUAGCGGCGGACGGGUGAGUAACGCGUGGAUAACCUACCUUUGAGACUGGGAUAACUUCUGGAAACCGAUGCUAAUACCGCAUAAUAUCUUUAACCACAUGGUUCAAUAUUGAAAGACGCUUUUGCUGUACCCUAUAGAUAUCCCCGCGCCGCAUUAGCUAGUUGGUAAGGUAACGGCUUACAAAGGCAACGAUGCGUAGCCGACCUGAGAGGGUGAUCGGCCACACUGGAACUGAGACACGGUCCAGACUCCUACGGGAGGCAGCAGUAGGGAAUCUUCCGAAAUGGGCGAAAGCUUGACGGAGCAACGCCGCGUGAGUGAUGAAGGUCUUCGGAUCGUAAAACUCUGUUAGUAGGGAAGAACAAAUGUGUAAGUAACUAUGCACGUCUUGACGGUACCUAAUCAGAAAGCCACGGCUAACUACGUG
This 497-nucleotide ribosomal RNA is filed under the name uncultured bacterium. RNAcentral's name for it is "partial 16S ribosomal RNA". It matches the Rfam family "Bacterial small subunit ribosomal RNA", at positions 28 to 507 of the family's 1533-position model. The record is from RNAcentral.